UAGGGAAUCUUCCGCAAUGGGCGAAAGCCUGACGGAGCAACGCCGCGUGAGUGAUGAAGGUCUUCGGAUCGUAAAACUCUGUUAUUAGGGAAGAACAAAUGUGUAAGUAACUAUGCACGUCUUGACGGUACCUAAUCAGAAAGCCACGGCUAACUACGUGCCAGCAGCCGCGGUAAUACGUAGGUGGCAAGCGUUAUCCGGAAUUAUUGGGCGUAAAGCGCGCGUAGGCGGUUUUUUAAGUCUGAUGUGAAAGCCCACGGCUCAACCGUGGAGGGUCAUUGGAAACUGGAAAACUUGAGUGCAGAAGAGGGAAGUGGAAUUCCAUGUGUAGCAGUGAAAUGCGCAGAGAUAUGGAGGAACACCAGUGGAGAAGGCGACUUUCUGGUCUGUAACUGACGCUGAUGUGCGAAAGCGUGGGGAUCAAACAGG
Molecule: ribosomal RNA, 429 nt
Filed under: Actinomycetes bacterium
Lineage: Bacteria; Bacillati; Actinomycetota; Actinomycetes
Description: Actinobacteria bacterium partial 16S ribosomal RNA
Rfam family: Bacterial small subunit ribosomal RNA
Source: RNAcentral